RNAcentral lists this long non-coding RNA (2631 nucleotides) under Canis lupus familiaris (dog). Its description in RNAcentral is "lncRNA (ENSCAFG00000056734.1)". Lineage: Eukaryota; Metazoa; Chordata; Mammalia; Carnivora; Canidae. The record is from RNAcentral.
UUGAGGCAAAGGUAACAAAAGCAAAAAUAAACUAUUGGGACUACAUAAAACUAAAAAGGUUUUGCACAGCUAAGGAAAAUGUCAACAAAAAUGCAACCUUCUGAAUGGGAACAAAUAAUGUAACUGUAAAAAAGGUUAAUAUCCAAAAUAUAUAAAAUAAUUCAUACAACUUGACACCAAAAAAAGAAAUCUGAUUAAAAAUGGCAGAGAAUCUAAAGAGACUAUUUUUUCCCAAAGAAGACAUAAACAUGGCCAACAGAUACAUGAAAAGAUGCUCAGCACCACUAAUCAAGGAAAUAGAAAUCAAAACCACAACAGGGGGAUCCCUGGGUGGCGCAGCGGUUUAGCGCCUGCCUUUGGCCCAGGGCGCGAUCCUGGAGACCAGGGAUCGAGUCCCACGUCGGGCUCCCGGUGCAUGGAGCCUGCUUCUUCCUCUGCCUCUCUCUCUCUUGCUCUGUGACUAUCAUAAAUAAAAAUUAAAAAAAAAAAAAACCACAACACGACACCAUCUCAUACAAACUGACUAGUAUCAUGAACACAAGAAAUAACAACUACCAGUGAGGAUGUAGAAAAGGAUAAUUCUCAUGGACUGUUGAUGGGAAUGUAGACUGGUCUAACCACCAUAGAAAACAGUAUAAAUGUUUCUCAAAAAUUUAAAAAUAGCACCACUAUACAAUUCCUUAAUUCCAGUUCUGAAUAUAUCCACAAAGAAAGUGAAAACGCUAACUCAAAAAGAUAUAUGAACUUCUAUGUUUACCGCAUUAUUUAUAAUAUCCUAUAUCUAGAUACAACCUAAGAGCCUAUCAAGAGAUAAACAGAUACAGAAGGUGUGGUAUGUAUAUGCAUACACAUAUCACUCGGCCAUAAAAAAAGAAUAAGAUCUUGUCAUUUGUAACAACAUGAAUGGACCUAAAGGGUAUAAUACUCAAAGAAAUAAGUCUAAAGAGACAAACACCAUAGAAUUUCACGUAUAUGUGGAAUCUAAAAAAGAAAACAAAUGAGUAACAACAACAACAACAACAACAACAACAAAACAGACUCAAAGAACUGGUGAUUGCCCAGGUGGAAGGUGCAGGGGGUUAGGAGAUGAGUGAAAUAGGUUAACGGGAAUGAGAAUACAAACUUCUACUUAGGAAAUAAGUUACAGUAUGAUUGUAUUAACUUUGUAUGAUGACAGGUGGUAACUACACAUCAUGGUGAGCGUUUCUUGAUGUAUAUAAAUAUGUAGGAUCACUAUGUUCUAUACUUGAAACUAAUACUGUCAACUAUAACUCAAAAAUAAAUACAUACAAAUAAUUUAAUGAGUGAUAUAAAAGGCUUUCUGGAUCUAAAAGGUUAUUAUUUUUCAGUCAGCAAUAUUAUAUACAUUGAAAUAAAGCCUGGUGACUAUUCCAAGCUGGUUUAAUGGUCUUAAACCUAACAUUGGGACGCCUGGGUGGUUCAGUGGUUGAGCGUCUGCCUUUGGCUCAGGUUGUGAUCCUGGGAUCCAGGAUCGAGUCCCACAUCAGGCUCCUUGCAGGAAGCCUGCUUCUCCCUCGACCUAUGUCUCUGCCUCCCUAUCUCUCUGUGUCUCUCAUGAAUGAAUAAACAAAAUCUUAAAAAAACAAAACAAACAAACAUAAAACUGAUUUCAAAGUAAGUUUAAAAACAAAGGAACAAAACCCAAAAGGAAGAAUAUUGAACCAUGAUAACUAACAUGAUCAUAUUAUAAUGCGCUAAAGCACAUACUUGGCCUAAGCACAGGAAAUUAAUCUCUUGGAUAUGGAUUAACUGGGCAUCUCAUUCCUUGGCUUAUGUAAGUUAUUCAUUUCCCUAAGUUAAUCUGAAUGUUCCAUUCUUCAUUUGUCCUAUAUUAGAUAUUAGGUAUCCUCCUUGUGAUAAUAAUACAUUGAUGAAGUAAUUCUUUCAGAGAUGAUGACAUUAAUCCAAGACAGACUAAUACACAGAUGGAGUAUUUGACUCUUGGAUGAUGAAUGAAAUCCACAGUGCUGUGGCCACAGGUGAAAACAUUUUAGAAAUACUUAGCGAUGUUUCAAUAUGGAGAAUUCUGCACGCACUAUAGAUCUGUGCCCUUUUCACCAACAUGAACACACACAGUGCAGAGAUUCAGGCUUCAAUUCACAGCUUUGAUGUGGCUGCACUUAGUCUACCUAGAGCUACUGUUGCAUGGGCAGAAUCCUCAGGCUUGGGCGACACAAAAAUCACAUUCUUGAGUUUGAACACCCACAACUUUUGUUCCACUGAUUUUUCUCCUCCCUCUUGCCACCAAGAAGGACUGAGCACUCUUCAAGGUAUUGAUUGGGAUUUGUAAAGGUGUGAUGAUAAAUAAUUAGAAUCAUGAAAAUUACAAGAACCACAAUAACUUUUUACUCAUGGUACUGAAUACUUCAUAUGAACUGUUUCAUGUUGCCAUCAAAACAGUUAUGAUAUCUAUACAUUAUCCCCUUUGGAAAAUGGAUAAAGCAAGGUUCUAAAAUGUUAAAAAGCCUGGCCUAAAUCACACAGCUAGCAAUUAGUGGAGGUUUAGAAGUAACACUAAUCAAGAUUGUGAAUUUCAGAUAUUUAACUAGUAAUAACAGAAGGAGUCUAUAUUUCAUAAUAGACAUAGAGGGACACUUUCCUCAUAACCUC